RNAcentral lists this long non-coding RNA (457 nucleotides) under Gallus gallus (chicken). The record is from RNAcentral. Lineage: Eukaryota; Metazoa; Chordata; Aves; Galliformes; Phasianidae.
CUUUUACUAAACGUUCACAUGUUCGCAUGAGAGUCCCUGAGAACUGAGAAGGGUCAACCCCAUAGUCCCUCCAGCCACCGACACCAUCUGCUACUCCGAGCACAUCUGCCGUGCGGUGCCGGGCCACAAAGCAGGCGUCAUCCCCGUAGCACAUGCCUUUCUUGAGGAUCCCCUUGCGGAAAUCUUUGCCAAAGCCACAGCUGGCCGUCACCAAGCUGUAGUCACGGGUGUCGGUCUGCGAGAGGCCGCCCAGCACUGCCCGGGCCACCAGCCUGCCAUAGGACAGCACCGAGAACAUGGCGUGGGGCGCCCAGCAGCCCAAGGCCAGGAACGCGGGGAGCCACCGGCGCAGCCGCCUCCUGCAGCGAGCCAGCCUUCCUGCUGCCCGCCGGCCGGCCGCCUCCACGCCUCUGGGCCUCAGCGCCUCGACACCUCAGGAUCUCUGGGCCUCAGCCCC